AUUGAACGCUGGCGGCAUGCCUUACACAUGCAAGUCGAACGGCAGCGCGGACUUCGGUCUGGCGGCGAGUGGCGAACGGGUGAGUAAUACAUCGGAACGUACCCUGUUGUGGGGGAUAACUAGUCGAAAGAUUAGCUAAUACCGCAUACGACCUGAGGGUGAAAGUGGGGGACCGCAAGGCCCCACGCAGCAGGAGCGGCCGAUGUCUGAUUAGCUAGUUGGUGGGGUAAAGGCCCACCAAGGCGACGAUCAGUAGCUGGUCUGAGAGGACGAUCAGCCACACUGGGACUGAGACACGGCCCAGACUCCUACGGGAGGCAGCAGUGGGGAAUUUUGGACAAUGGGGGCAACCCUGAUCCAGCAAUGCCGCGUGUGUGGAGAAGGCCUUCGGGUUGUAAAGCACUUUUGUCCGGAAAGAAAUCGCGCUGGUUAAUACCUGGCGUGGAUGACGGUACCGGAAGAAUAAGCACCGGCUAACUACGUGCCAGCAGCCGCAGUAA
This 500-nucleotide ribosomal RNA is filed under the name uncultured bacterium. RNAcentral describes it as "partial 16S ribosomal RNA". It matches the Rfam family "Bacterial small subunit ribosomal RNA", at positions 29 to 523 of the family's 1533-position model. The record is from RNAcentral.